CCCCUAGACGUUCUGGGCUGCACGCGCGCUACAAUAAUACGCACAGCGAGUAUCACCGAGCUCGAAAGGGCAAGGUAAACAAUAGAAAAGGUACUGUAAUGGUUAUAGAUCCUUGUAAUUAUUGAUCUUCAACGAGGAAUUCCUAGUAAGCAUGUGUCAUCAUCACGCACUGAUUACGUCCCUGCCCUUUGUACACACCGCCCGUCGCUCCUACCGAUUGGGUGAGCCGAUGAAACUCUCGGAUGUAGGCUAUUCAUAGCCCGCAGAAGAGAUUUGAAUCGUAGCGCUUAGAGGAAGGAGAAGUCGUAACA
RNAcentral lists this ribosomal RNA (311 nucleotides) under uncultured eukaryote. RNAcentral's name for it is "partial 18S ribosomal RNA". It matches the Rfam family "Eukaryotic small subunit ribosomal RNA", at positions 1470 to 1796 of the family's 1831-position model. The record is from RNAcentral.